RNAcentral lists this ribosomal RNA (446 nucleotides) under uncultured marine bacterium. RNAcentral describes it as "bacterial SSU rRNA". It matches the Rfam family "Bacterial small subunit ribosomal RNA", at positions 8 to 452 of the family's 1533-position model. The record is from RNAcentral.
AGAGUUUGAUCAUGGCUCAGAUUGAACGCUGGCGGUAUGCUUAACACAUGCAAGUCGAACGGAAACGAUACUAGCUUGCUAGUAGGCGUCGAGUGGCGGACGGGUGAGUAACGCGUAGGAAUCUGCCUGAUAGUGGGGGAUAGCCCGAAGAAAUUCGGAUUAAUACCGCAUAAUCUAUUCGUAGUAAAGUGGGGGACUUUCGAGCCUCACGCUAUCAGAUGAGCCUGCGUAAGAUUAGCUAGUUGGUAGGGUAAAAGCCUACCAAGGCAACGAUCUUUAGCUGGUCUGAGAGGAUGAUCAGCCACAUCGGGACUGAGACACGGCCCGAACUCCUACGGGAGGCAGCAGUGGGGAAUAUUGGACAAUGGGGGCAACCCUGAUCCAGCAAUACCGCGUGUGUGAAGAAGGCCUGAGGGUUGUAAAGCACUUUCAAUUGUGAAGAAAAG